RNAcentral lists this ribosomal RNA (1360 nucleotides) under uncultured bacterium. RNAcentral describes it as "bacterial SSU rRNA". It matches the Rfam family "Bacterial small subunit ribosomal RNA", at positions 30 to 1400 of the family's 1533-position model. The record is from RNAcentral.
UGAACGCUGGCGGCGUGCUUAACACAUGCAAGUCGAGCGAAGCAGUUAAGAAGAUUCUUCGGAUGAAACUUGAUUGACUGAGCGGCGGACGGGUGAGUAACGCGUGGGUGACCUGCCCCAUACCGGGGGAUAACAGCUGGAAACGGCUGCUAAUACCGCAUAAGCGCACAGAGCUGCAUGGCUCGGUGUGAAAAACUCCGGUGGUAUGGGAUGGGCCCGCGUCUGAUUAGGCAGUUGGCGGGGUAACGGCCCACCAAACCGACGAUCAGUAGCCGGACUGAGAGGUUGAACGGCCACAUUGGGACUGAGACACGGCCCAGACUCCUACGGGAGGCAGCAGUGGGGAAUAUUGCACAAUGGGGGAAACCCUGAUGCAGCGACGCCGCGUGGAGGAAGAAGGUCUUCGGAUUGUAAACUCCUGUUGUUGAGGAAGAUAAUGACGGUACUCAACAAGGAAGUGACGGCUAACUACGUGCCAGCAGCCGCGGUAAAACGUAGGUCACAAGCGUUGUCCGGAAUUACUGGGUGUAAAGGGAGCGCAGGCGGGAAGACAAGUUGGAAGUGAAAUCUAUGGGCUCAACCCAUAAACUGCUUUCAAAACUGUUUUUCUUGAGUAGUGCAGAGGUAGGCGGAAUUCCCGGUGUAGCGGUGGAAUGCGUAGAUAUCGGGAGGAACACCAGUGGCGAAGGCGGCCUACUGGGCACCAACUGACGCUGAGGCUCGAAAGUGUGGGUAGCAAACAGGAUUAGAUACCCUGGUAGUCCACACCGUAAACGAUGAUUACUAGGUGUUGGAGGAUUGACCCCUUCAGUGCCGCAGUUAACACAAUAAGUAAUCCACCUGGGGAGUACGACCGCAAGGUUGAAACUCAAAGGAAUUGACGGGGGCCCGCACAAGCAGUGGAGUAUGUGGUUUAAUUCGACGCAACGCGAAGAACCUUACCAAGUCUUGACAUCCUGCGGCGAUGCUGGAAACAGUAUUUUCCUUCGGGACGCAGAGACAGGUGGUGCAUGGUUGUCGUCAGCUCGUGUCGUGAGAUGUUGGGUUAAGUCCCGCAACGAGCGCAACCCUUACUGUCAGUUACUACGCAAGAGGACUCUGGCAGGACUGCCGUUGACAAAACGGAGGAAGGUGGGGAUGACGUCAAAUCAUCAUGCCCUUUAUGACUUGGGCUACACACGUACUACAAUGGCGUUAAACAAAGAGAAGCAAGACCGCGAGGUGGAGCAAAACUCAGAAACAACGUCCCAGUUCGGACUGCAGGCUGCAACUCGCCUGCACGAAGUCGGAAUUGCUAGUAAUCGUGGAUCAGCAUGCCACGGUGAAUACGUUCCCGGGCCUUGCACUCACCGCCCGUCAA